CGUGGAUCUUGGUUACGAAGCCACAGAGUUGAAAUAGAGAGCAGGAUCCCACUAUCUGUUUCAAAUGAUCUUAUAAUGGACUGUUCUACUGUUACUACUUGCCUGGUUAUUCAAUCGACAGUUAAACUAUUGACGAUCAGCACCCAUUCCACCCUGCAACAAUAUGCCUGUCCUUCAGGUGAGAUGCUCAAGUAAGGUCCAUCUAUCCUUUCAAGAAGAUGAUCAUGCUCCCAUUGCACCAUUUGGAAGAAGACCACUGGAGAUAUCCUCUCAUGACAUGUAAACUCUUUGGUGCUAGAAGUGGACUCCAGGUGUCGACUGGUUUAAUUGGUCAAUCCACCCCAACAAACACAAAAGCAG
This is a non-coding RNA of Chiloscyllium plagiosum (whitespotted bambooshark), 360 nucleotides long. NCBI's taxonomy places the organism in Eukaryota, Metazoa, Chordata, Chondrichthyes, Orectolobiformes, Hemiscylliidae. The record is from RefSeq and is a predicted model, not a curated record.